Molecule: non-coding RNA, 168 nt
Filed under: bovine gut metagenome
Description: Lysine riboswitch
Rfam family: Lysine riboswitch aptamer
About the family: Riboswitches are metabolite binding domains within certain messenger RNAs that serve as precision sensors for their corresponding targets. Allosteric rearrangement of mRNA structure is mediated by ligand binding, and this results in modulation of gene expression. This family includes riboswitches that sense lysine in a number of genes involved in lysine metabolism, including lysC.
Source: RNAcentral
GAUAGAGGUGCGGUAACGGCGUGUAGCCGGAGGGAGGCUGCCAAGGCUUUUGAUGUCCGGUGAAUAGACUUGCCGCCGAAAAGCAGAAAAGCGGCGUUUUCUGCUUUGGUCAUUCAUCACAGCGGUGUGUGACUGUCACUGCAGAAAUGCGGUGGGGAGCUAUCGGGU